GGGCUGCAGUAUUUUGACUGUACAAAGGUAGCAUAAUCAAUAGUCUCUUAAUUGGUGACUUGUAUGAAAGAUUGGAUGAAAUAUAAACUGUCUCUAAUUGAUUUAUAAAAAUUAAUUUUUUAGUAAAAAAGCUAAAAUAAUUUUAAAAGACGAGAAGACCCUAUAGAGUUUAAUAUUUUAUUUAAUAAUUAUUAAUAUAUAUAUAAUUUUAAAAAUUAAAAUUAAAUAAAUUAUUUUGUUGGGGUGAUAAAAAAAUUAAAUUAACUUUUUUUGAUUAUAAACAUUAAUUUAUGGUUAAGUGAUCCAUUUAUAGUGAUUAAAAGAAAAAAUUACCUUAGGGAUAACAGCGUAAUUUUUUUUUUUAGUUCAAAUAGGAAAAAAAGUUUGCGACCUCGAUGUUGGAUUAA
This 407-nucleotide ribosomal RNA is filed under the name Papilio aegeus oritas. RNAcentral describes it as "partial 16S ribosomal RNA". Lineage: Eukaryota; Metazoa; Arthropoda; Insecta; Lepidoptera; Papilionidae. The record is from RNAcentral.